Molecule: ribosomal RNA, 292 nt
Filed under: uncultured bacterium
Lineage: Bacteria
Description: partial 16S ribosomal RNA
Rfam family: Bacterial small subunit ribosomal RNA
Source: RNAcentral
GUGCCAGCCGCCGCGGUAAUACGUAGGUGGCAAGCGUUGUCCGGAUUUAUUGGGUUUAAAGGGUGCGUAGGCGGCCUAUUAAGUCAGUGGUGAAAUAUCUCAGCUUAACUGAGAAGGUGCCAAUGAUACUGAUGGGCUUGAGUACAGAUGAGGUAGGCGGAAUUGACGGUGUAGCGGUGAAAUGCUUAGAUAUCGUCAAGAACACCUAUAGCGAAGGCAGCUUACUAGGCUGUAACUGACGCUGAGGCACGAAAGUGUGGGGAUCAAACAGGAUUAGAUACCCCCGUAGUCC